Molecule: long non-coding RNA, 1177 nt
Filed under: Bos indicus x Bos taurus (hybrid cattle)
Lineage: Eukaryota; Metazoa; Chordata; Mammalia; Artiodactyla; Bovidae
Description: lncRNA (ENSBIXG00000013063.1)
Source: RNAcentral
AUUUCCCAAAUUGCACACUUUAACAGGCAAAUGUCUCAGAGUCCACGUGGAAGGUCAGUGUUUGGGGAAAGACUGUAAUUAUAAUGAGGUCACAGAGUCCCAGAUUAGAGUCAGAAGGGCCAGCAAAGUCCGUUCCUCGAGGCCUGUAGGGACAGGCCAGUUGAUGAUGGGCCUGGGAGCAGGGGGCGGGUCUCUGGGCUCUGGUCGCAGGCUCUCUGGAGUCUGGGUACCAAACCUGCCGAGGCAGGAUCCGAAGACUUAGCAGAGUCCUCGGAUCCCAGGACUCAGCAAGUCAGCCUAGGAUGGAGACGUGUCUGCCUGCGUUUCAGAGGCCUGACCCGCUGCCAGCACCCUUUCGACUCCGGGAUCUGUUAUCACCUCGCUGUGGCCAAUCCCUUUGUAUUUCCUAUGAAGUGGAGCCAGAAGCCAUCAGCCCUGGAGGGACACGAGCACCUCUUCCCCCCCAACCUGCAGGACGUUUCAUCCAAGGCACAGUCAUCGCUCGUCCGACCGGUUAACGGCCCCCUGCUCCCCCAGCUGCUGGGCUACAGUCUGUUCUCCACACGGCGGCCUGGUGACCACAGCCUGGAGCGAAAUCCUCCUCUGCCUGAAACCUUCGGGCGGGCCCCAGAGGCCAACAGGUCAGCGCUGUCCGACGGAAAUGUCUGUGGUCGUGGAAGUGAUCCAGGCGUGUUUUUGGCCUCGCCACGUGGGGUCUUCGUCCCCCGACAGGUGGCGGAACCAGAGCCCCUGGCAAUGCAAGCAUGCGGUCUUAACCCCUGGGCCGCCGGGGAGACCCCGUGGACGUGAUCCCACUGUUAACACAGGAGACACCAUCAGUGCUACGUGUGGGAGAGGGCGGGUGCGUGCUCUCCCUGCUCUGGUCCUGAGUACACAGCCACACACUGUCCAGCGUGGACGCAGCGGUUCUCCAAAUGCUAUGCUCCAACACUUCGGCCACGUGAUGCCAAGAGCUGACUCAUUGGAAGAGACCCUGAUGCUGGGAAAGAUUGAAGGCGGGAAGAGAAGGGGACGACGGACGAUGAGAUGGCUGGAUGGCAUCACUGAAUCCACGGACAUGAGUUUCAGCAAGCUCUGGGAGUUGGUGAUGGACAGGGAGGCCUGGUGCGCUGGAGUCCAUGGGGUCGCAAGGAGUCGGACACAACUGAGUGACUGA